Aedes aegypti (yellow fever mosquito) is the source of this 45-nucleotide non-coding RNA. NCBI's taxonomy places the organism in Eukaryota, Metazoa, Arthropoda, Insecta, Diptera, Culicidae. The record is from Rfam.
AAAACGGCCCUUUUCAGGGCCAACAUUACUAUUAAAGAAUUGUUU